Molecule: long non-coding RNA, 703 nt
Filed under: Androctonus crassicauda
Lineage: Eukaryota; Metazoa; Arthropoda; Arachnida; Scorpiones; Buthidae
Source: RNAcentral
UAAUCCUCACACAAUAUUUAAAAUACCGUAAUAGUCAGUUUGCUUUUGUUAGCCAUAAUAACUGAUAUUUUCACAUAUAAUUUAUAAAUUUAUAUAAUUAAUUUAAAAAUUUUGAAAAUAUCGACAAAAGAAUUGUUAUUAUUGUUAUGUACUUUUAAAUUGAUUUUUAGAAACGAAAUAAGCUGAUUGAAAUUUGUGUAAUUUAAUUCUUAAACGGGCCAACGUUGAAACAAAGGGGAAAACUAAAAGAUGUAGUCGUACCGUGUAGAUAAUGAAUGAUAUGACGUUAUUUGUUCUUAAAAAAAAUGUUUUAUUUCUAUUCUAUGAAGUGUUUACGUGGGCGUUAUCUACGUGUACCACUGCUUGGUUAAUGAUAUCGAUACUUUAAAAAAAUUUAUAUAUUUUUUGAAGGUAUUUUAAUUGCAGCGAAACUGUUCGAAACACAGUGUGAUGCACAAAGGAACACCACGUGCUGUAACCAAUUGCGGUUCUUUUUUGUUGAACAAAGUCGGCACCUUUUUCUGCUUCAACCGAAAAAUGUUUUCCGACAUCUUCGUACCUAACCGAAUCUGGAACACCCAAUUGAACGUUGGUUUUCUGAAUUUUUUUUUUACAUUUAUAUUUUUCUGUUCCGAGCACACGCGUAACAGAAGGUUCAAUAGCUAGGAGUAAGACCAGGGUGAAAAGAAAAUUCUAGAAAAAU